AGAGAGAGAGAGAGAGGUCUGAAUGGGGAGGGGGAGACCUAAAGAGAAGAUGGAAGUCAGGGAGUGGUCUUUCAAGAUGUGCUCAGCACGCUCUAAAGGGGAGGGUGGCACAGCUUGGGAAUGCACUGCUGCCUGCUUUAGUGCCCACUCAAGGACAGGGUUCCAUGUGGUUCUAUUCAUCCCUCACCUUCUCCCUUCUCCCCCUAGGGAGGUGUUCGAGCCAACUGUGGAAAGGGGUGAACUGGUAGUCAGGUACCGUGCCCGAAAGUCCUACAGUCGCCGGACCACGGAAGCCACCUGUAAGUGAACUCCACAUAGAGAACUGGGCGGCUGCAGACGGCCUGAGCUUCUGUAGAUGUCUGAGAUGAGUUUCUGGAAGUCUUUAGAACACUAGGGUGUUAGAGCCUCGGGCCCUAGGCACAGUGAAGCUUGGACCACACACAGCUUUAGAACGGGAGAAGAUAGGGCGUUGUGUAUUCUCAGCACUGGGACAAAAACAAAACAAAACCAAACCAAAACAAAACAAAAAAACCAGCUUCAAGAAGGCUCGUUGUGGUUGGGGAUUUAGCUCAGCGGUAGAGCGCUUGCCUAGCAGGCGCAAGGCCCUGGGUUCGAUCCCCAGCUCCG
This 627-nucleotide long non-coding RNA is filed under the name Rattus norvegicus (Norway rat). RNAcentral's name for it is "long non-coding RNA NONRATT002421". The stretch from base 559 to 627 matches the Rfam family "tRNA". The record is from RNAcentral. Lineage: Eukaryota; Metazoa; Chordata; Mammalia; Rodentia; Muridae.